This 262-nucleotide signal recognition particle RNA is filed under the name Lachnospiraceae bacterium. RNAcentral describes it as "signal recognition particle sRNA large type". It matches the Rfam family "Bacterial large signal recognition particle RNA". Rfam says of the family: The signal recognition particle (SRP) is a universally conserved ribonucleoprotein involved in the co-translational targeting of proteins to membranes. Archaeal SRP consists of a 7S RNA and homologues of the eukaryotic SRP19 and SRP54 proteins. In most bacteria, the SRP consists of a 4.5S RNA and the Ffh protein (a homologue of the eukaryotic SRP54 protein). Lineage: Bacteria; Bacillati; Bacillota; Clostridia; Lachnospirales; Lachnospiraceae. The record is from RNAcentral.
CCGUGCAGCCGGGGAAGUAGCGGAGCCCUGUACCUUCAAUCCGCUCUAGUAGGGGUGAUAUCCUGCCGAGGGUCUUGAUCUGUAUGGCAGCCCUGCAUAAGUGACGUUGAUGUUCGGGUCUUGCGCAAUGGGAAUCUGUGAACCGUGUCAGGUUGGGAACAAAGCAGCACUAAGCAGAACCUUCCAUGUGCCGUGAGGGCGCCUGGGCUGAGUUAACUGUGCAGGUAACGCAUAUGGAUUUUGCUCGACGCAGGAUGCACGG